GAAAAAAACUAGGUGAAUUUCACAGGAGGAAGAAGAGGGAUGCAGAGUUAGCCAUUUCUGCUUGACAAAUGUCUGGAUGUUUAUUUGGCUAAAAUAACAACAACAACCAAACUUCAGAUGACCACACAUCAUUUCCCGGUCCUUUCAGUGUUGUUGGUAACGCAGAUCGAUCAGAAACUGUCCCAGA
Austrofundulus limnaeus is the source of this 187-nucleotide long non-coding RNA. RefSeq lists it as uncharacterized. The record is from RefSeq and is a predicted model, not a curated record. NCBI's taxonomy places the organism in Eukaryota, Metazoa, Chordata, Actinopteri, Cyprinodontiformes, Rivulidae. The transcript has 3 exons.